GGGUUGUGAGGUUAAGCGACUAAGCGUACACGGUGGAUGCCCUGGCAGUCAGAGGCGAUGAAGGGCGUGCUAAUCUGCGAUAAGCGCCGGUAAGGUGAUAUGAACCGUUAUAACCGGCGAUACCCGAAUGGGGAAACCCAGUGUGAUUCGUCACACUAUCAUUAACUGAAUCCAUAGGUUAAUGAGGCGAACCGGGGGAACUGAAACAUCUAAGUACCCCGAGGAAAAGAAAUCAACCGAGAUUCCCCCAGUAGCGGCGAGCGAACGGGGAGGAGCCCAGAGCCUGAAUCAGCAUGUGUGUUAGUGGAAGCGUCUGGAAAGGCGCGCGAUACAGGGUGACAGCCCCGUACACAAAAGCGUAUGUGCUGUGAGCUCGAUGAGUAGGGCGGGACACGUGGUAUCCUGUCUGAAUAUGGGGGGACCAUCCUCCAAGGCUAAAUACUCCUGACUGACCGAUAGUGAACCAGUACCGUGAGGGAAAGGCGAAAAGAACCCCGGCGAGGGGAGUGAAAAAGAACCUGAAACCGUGUACGUACAAGCAGUGGGAGCACCCUUUGGGGUGUGACUGCGUACCUUUUGUAUAAUGGGUCAGCGACUUAUAUUCUGUAGCAAGGUUAACCGAAUAGGGGAGCCGGAGGGAAACCGAGUCUUAAUUGGGCGUUAAGUUGCAGGGUAUAGACCCGAAACCCGGUGAUCUAGCCAUGGGCAGGUUGAAGGUUGGGUAACACUAACUGGAGGACCGAACCGACUAAUGUUGAAAAAUUAGCGGAUGACCUGUGGCUGGGGGUGAAAGGCCAAUCAAACCGGGAGAUAGCUGGUUCUCCCCGAAAGCUAUUUAGGUAGCGCCUCGUGAAUUCAUCUCCGGGGGUAGAGCACUGUUUCGGCUAGGGGGUCAUCCCGACUUACCAACCCGAUGCAAACUGCGAAUACCGGAGAAUGUUAUCACGGGAGACACACGGCGGGUGCUAACGUCCGUCGUGAAGAGGGAAACAACCCAGACCGCCAGCUAAGGUCCCAAAGUCAUGGUUAAGUGGGAAACGAUGUGGGAAGGCACAGACAGCCAGGAUGUUGGCUUAGAAGCAGCCAUCAUUUAAAGAAAGCGUAAUAGCUCACUGGUCGAGUCGGCCUGCGCGGAAGAUGUAACGGGGCUAAACCAUGCACCGAAGCUGCGGCAGCGACACUCAGGUGUUGUUGGGUAGGGGAGCGUUCUGUAAGCCUGUGAAGGUGGCCUGUGAGGGUUGCUGGAGGUAUCAGAAGUGCGAAUGCUGACAUAAGUAACGAUAAAGCGGGUGAAAAGCCCGCUCGCCGGAAGACCAAGGGUUCCUGUCCAACGUUAAUCGGGGCAGGGUGAGUCGACCCCUAAGGCGAGGCCGAAAGGCGUAGUCGAUGGGAAACGGGUUAAUAUUCCCGUACUUGGUGUUACUGCGAAGGGGGGACGGAGAAGGCUAUGUUGGCCGGGCGACGGUUGUCCCGGUUUAAGCGUGUAGGUGUGUGUUCCAGGUAAAUCCGGUUCACUUUAACACUGAGGCGUGAUGACGAGGCACUACGGUGCUGAAGCAACAAAUGCCCUGCUUCCAGGAAAAGCCUCUAAGCAUCAGGUAA
RNAcentral lists this ribosomal RNA (1602 nucleotides) under Salmonella enterica. Its description in RNAcentral is "partial 23S ribosomal RNA". It matches the Rfam family "Bacterial large subunit ribosomal RNA", at positions 1 to 1634 of the family's 2925-position model. Lineage: Bacteria; Pseudomonadati; Pseudomonadota; Gammaproteobacteria; Enterobacterales; Enterobacteriaceae. The record is from RNAcentral.